This is a long non-coding RNA of Misgurnus anguillicaudatus (oriental weatherfish), 630 nucleotides long. RefSeq lists it as uncharacterized. The record is from RefSeq and is a predicted model, not a curated record. Lineage: Eukaryota; Metazoa; Chordata; Actinopteri; Cypriniformes; Cobitidae.
GGUGUUAUGGAUCAACUGGGGAUCGUGUUAUCUGGGGACAUGCGCGUGCACGCACUUAAAUUUACCUGACAUACCAGCGACCGCGUCAGUUUCGUCAAAUUCGAUUUUCAAAAGCCCUUAUUAAAAACGUAUAUCAAAUUAUUAAUAAUUGUUGUUAUCAAUGUUCGACCACUUUGUUUCCUCUGCUUGUGUUUCCGUUUAUUUGACGCAGUUUAAAUUAAGUUUUAUCCUAUUUUCCUUGAACCAAUUGCACCACGCCCACGUUAAAAUGGGACAGCUGUUACCUUUUCGAUGCGAUGUUAUCAUUAAACUUGCCAGCGGAUUUAAGUACAUUUGACUUGGCUGAAGUUAAGAGAGGCAAAUGACAGUCAAACAUCAAUCUGUUUUUAUUUUUCAAGCAGAUCAGAAUUUGUGACAAAUGUGGAAUUAUCUAAGGUAAAUGACUGAUCUUUGAAAUUACAUCCAUACACGUUACAUAUGCUUACAAAAUGAUAUUGUUUUGUAACUCAGUGUAAAACUGAAAGUAAACUCUUUAAAAUUGUAUCUUGUUUCUGUGAUUGGAUAUGUGGAGAAUACAUUGUUUUCUGUAAACUUUCUCAAUAAAUAACUGGUUUCUAUUUUUCUGUGACA